CCUCAGGCUCCCUGGGACACUAACAGACACCUGUGCCCCGGGGAGAGCGCCCCGAGCUCCCUAAGGGCUGCAGCGCCCAUGGCUGGACCUGGGAGCAGCU
Molecule: microRNA precursor, 100 nt
Filed under: Canis lupus familiaris (dog)
Lineage: Eukaryota; Metazoa; Chordata; Mammalia; Carnivora; Canidae
Also listed under: 1 other name
Description: mir-8904 microRNA precursor family
Rfam family: mir-8904 microRNA precursor family
Source: Rfam by way of RNAcentral